GAGAAUGUGGCUCAGCUGGGGGAGUGCUUGCCUGGAAUGUUGAAGCUCUGGGUUUGAUUCCCAGCAUCUCA
RNAcentral lists this transfer RNA (71 nucleotides) under Mesocricetus auratus (golden hamster). It matches the Rfam family "tRNA". From Rfam's summary of the family: Transfer RNA (tRNA) molecules are approximately 80 nucleotides in length. Lineage: Eukaryota; Metazoa; Chordata; Mammalia; Rodentia; Cricetidae. The record is from Rfam by way of RNAcentral.